This 253-nucleotide ribosomal RNA is filed under the name Blautia schinkii. RNAcentral describes it as "partial 16S ribosomal RNA". It matches the Rfam family "Bacterial small subunit ribosomal RNA", at positions 524 to 776 of the family's 1533-position model. Lineage: Bacteria; Bacillati; Bacillota; Clostridia; Lachnospirales; Lachnospiraceae. The record is from RNAcentral.
UACGUAGGGGGCAAGUGUUAUCCGGAUUUACUGGGUGUAAAGGGAGCGUAGACGGAUUAGCAAGUCUGAUGUGAAAGGCAGGGGCUCAACCCCUGGACUGCAUUGGAAACUGCCAGUCUUGAGUGCCGGAGAGGUAAGCGGAAUUCCUAGUGUAGCGGUGAAAUGCGUAGAUAUUAGGAGGAACACCAGUGGCGAAGGCGGCUUACUGGACGGCAACUGACGUUGAGGCUCGAAAGCGUGGGGAGCAAACAGG